Molecule: ribosomal RNA, 112 nt
Filed under: Periophthalmus magnuspinnatus
Lineage: Eukaryota; Metazoa; Chordata; Actinopteri; Gobiiformes; Gobiidae
Source: RNAcentral
GUGUAAAACCAUACCACUAUGAGAAUGUCUGAUUUGAUCUCGUCUUAUCUCAAGCAGAGUUGGGUCUGGUUAGUAGUUGGAUGGGCAAUUGCUGGGAAUACCUGGUGCCACA